RNAcentral lists this long non-coding RNA (1303 nucleotides) under Mustela putorius furo (domestic ferret). RNAcentral's name for it is "lncRNA (ENSMPUG00000027981.1)". Lineage: Eukaryota; Metazoa; Chordata; Mammalia; Carnivora; Mustelidae. The record is from RNAcentral.
CUCCAUGCUAAUGAAGUUUAAAAUUUUAAUUUUAGCUGUUCCAGCUGACUGUGACCUUUCCAGAGAAUGGAGCUCCAGUCUAACGGCUGUAAAAAGAUUGCUCAGCGAGAAUAGAUUUUUACAAUAGGAAGCAGCAUAUGAGGACAAUGCAGGUUUUUUCAUUUAUGUGUUUUGUUCACUUUGCAUUGACUCUACAAUUUUUUUAUUGAGUGCCUUCUAGGUGUCAGGCACCAUUGUGGUCACUGGGGAUAGAUGUGGCUGUGAAGAAACCUGCCAGAGUCUCCAUCGCCCAGCAUGACACCGCAGCUCCGUGGCAUAGCCACAAAUGGCCCAUCAGGAAUGAUUUCCACGUCCAGAGCCCAUGGACCACAGCACUCUGAAGCAAGCCUUUUUAGCACCUGUUGGUGUCGUGGAGAUGGUAAACUUAGAGUCACGGGCCAGCCAAUGCCUCUUGCCAAGUGGGUGACCCUGAGUAAGUCACUGGGAGUUUCUGAACUUCAUUCCCCUCCAGCGUGCAAUUGGAGAUGCUAAAAAUUCAGUGACUCACAUGGUUUCACUUACUUGUGGAGCAUAAGGAAUAACACGGAGGACAUUAGGAGAAGGAAAGGAAAAGUGAAUUGAAGUAAAUCGGAGGGGGAGACAACACAUGAGACACUGUGGACUCUGAGAAACAAACUGAGGGUUAUGGAAGGGAGGGGUUUGGGGAAUGGAUGAGCCUGGUGGUGGGUAUUAAGGAGGGCACGUAUUGAAUGGAGCACUGGGUGUGGCACAUAAACAAUGAAUCUUGGAACACUGAAAAGAGGUAAAACUAAAUAAAGUUAAAUUAGUAUGUUAAAAAAAUAAAAAUAAAUAAAUAAAUCUUUAAAAAAAAUUCACUGACUCAUCUAUGAAGUGUGAACUGAGCAGUUAUCCUGUAUCUGGCUGUGCGUGCAGUUAUUAUGUAUAAAACAAACAACCAGCACCUGGUUGUGCACAGGUGCUGGGGACACGGUGAUGGAUAAGACAAAGGCAGAGCCUUCCCUGAGUCUGUCCAGCCAGGCAUGCUGGCUUGUAUAAACCGCCAGAAUGAUGCGUAUUUAAAACAACACAUGUAGGACCAUGGGAGCAUAAAAAGGGAACCAGGCUAGGUGGACAUCAGACAGUGCUUCUCAGAAGGGACAUUUAAAUGGAUCUAAGGAAGUUAGCCAACAAAAGACCAAGGACAGAAUGUAUGUGUGUGUCCUGCAGAGAAGGGAAAUGUCCCAGGGAGCAGGAACCAUCAGGUAAAGACGGUGAAGCAGAAUCAACACUGCUACGUUUCAAU